GUGCUCACUUUCACAGCUCAUAUACUAAAACUGGAUGAUACAGAGACGAUUAGAAUGGUCCUUGUGCGAAGAUGAUGUGUACAUUUGUGAAGCAGUCUAUGUUAGA
This is a small nuclear RNA of Octodon degus (degu), 106 nucleotides long. NCBI's taxonomy places the organism in Eukaryota, Metazoa, Chordata, Mammalia, Rodentia, Octodontidae. The record is from Ensembl.